AUUGAACGCUGGCGGCAGGCCUAACACAUGCAAGUCGAACGGUAACAGGAAACAGCUUGCUGUUUCGCUGACGAGUGGCGGACGGGUGAGUAAUGUCUGGGAAACUGCCUGAUGGAGGGGGAUAACUACUGGAAACGGUAGCUAAUACCGCAUAACGUCGCAAGACCAAAGAGGGGGACCUUCGGGCCUCUUGCCAUCGGAUGUGCCCAGAUGGGAUUAGCUAGUAGGUGGGGUAACGGCUCACCUAGGCGACGAUCCCUAGCUGGUCUGGGAGGAUGACCAGCCACACUGGAACUGAGACACGGUCCAGACUCCUACGGGAGGCAGCAGUGGGGAAUAUUGCACAAUGGGCGCAAGCCUGAUGCAGCCAUGCCGCGUGUAUGAAGAAGGCCUUCGGGUUGUAAAGUACUUUCAGCGGGGAGGAAGGGAGUAAAGUUAAUACCUCGACUCAUUGACGUUACCCGCAGAAGAAGCACCGGCUAACUCCGUG
RNAcentral lists this ribosomal RNA (490 nucleotides) under uncultured bacterium. Its description in RNAcentral is "partial 16S ribosomal RNA". It matches the Rfam family "Bacterial small subunit ribosomal RNA", at positions 30 to 507 of the family's 1533-position model. The record is from RNAcentral.